AGAGCGAACGCUGGCGGCGUGCUUAACACAUGCAAGUCGAACGCGCAGCAUUCUGUAGCAAUACAGGGUGUGGGCGCGUGGCGAACGGGUGCGUAACACGUGGAUAACCUUCCUUGAGGUGGGGAAUAACCCAGUGAAAAUUGGGCUAAUACCGCAUAACAUCGCAAGAUCAAAGCAGCAAUGCGCUGGAAGAGGGGGUCGCGGCUGAUUAGCUAGUUGGCGGGGUAACGGCCCACCAAGGCGAAGAUCGGUA
This 253-nucleotide ribosomal RNA is filed under the name uncultured bacterium. RNAcentral's name for it is "partial small subunit ribosomal RNA". It matches the Rfam family "Bacterial small subunit ribosomal RNA", at positions 26 to 285 of the family's 1533-position model. The record is from RNAcentral.